RNAcentral lists this unclassified non-coding RNA (345 nucleotides) under soil metagenome. RNAcentral's name for it is "partial contains 5.8S ribosomal RNA, internal transcribed spacer 2, and large subunit ribosomal RNA". The stretch from base 1 to 120 matches the Rfam family "5.8S ribosomal RNA", at positions 35 to 154 of the family's 154-position model. The record is from RNAcentral.
GAUGAAGAACGUAGCGAAAUGCGAUACGUAAUGUGAAUUGCAGAAUUCAGUGAAUCAUCGAGUCUUUGAACGCACAUUGCGCCCCCUGGUAUUCCGGGGGGCAUGCCUGUCCGAGCGUCAUUGCUGCCCUCAAGCACGGCUUGUGUGUUGGGCCUCCGUCCUCCUCCCGGGGGACGGGCCCGAAAGGCAGCGGCGGCACCGCGUCCGGUCCUCGAGCGUAUGGGGCUUCGUCACCCGCUCUUGUAGGCCCGGCCGGCGCUUGCCGACACAUCAAUCUUUUUUCCAGGGUGACCUCGGAUCAGGUAGGGAUACCCGCUGAACUUAAGCAUAUCAAUAAGCGGAGGA